This 271-nucleotide ribosomal RNA is filed under the name uncultured archaeon. Its description in RNAcentral is "partial 16S ribosomal RNA". It matches the Rfam family "Archaeal small subunit ribosomal RNA", at positions 477 to 747 of the family's 1478-position model. The record is from RNAcentral.
CAGCGCCACGAGUGGUAACCACGUUUAUUGGGCCUAAAGCGUCCGUAGCCGGUUUGAUAGAUCUUUUGUGAAAUUGUACAGCUUAACUGUACAGCGUGCAAGAGACACUGUCAAACUUGAGACCGGGAGGAGUCAGAAGUAUUCCAGAGGGAGCGGUAAAAUGUUAUAAUCUCUGGAGGACUACCUGUGGCGAAGGCGUCUGACCAGAACGGAUCUGACGGUGAGGGACGAAAGCUAGGGGAGCGAACCGGAUUAGAUACCCGAGUAGUCC